This 464-nucleotide ribosomal RNA is filed under the name uncultured bacterium. Its description in RNAcentral is "bacterial SSU rRNA". It matches the Rfam family "Bacterial small subunit ribosomal RNA", at positions 28 to 481 of the family's 1533-position model. The record is from RNAcentral.
GAUGAACGCUAGCGACAGGCUUAACACAUGCAAGUCGAGGGGCAGCGGGGAGGUAGCAAUACUUCCGCCGGCGACCGGCGCACGGGUGAGUAACACGUAUGGAACCUGCCCGUAGCAGGGGGAUAAGCGGAAGAAAUUCCGUCUAAUACCGCGUAAUAACUCCGAGAGGCAUCUCAUGGAGUUUAAAGGGUAACACCGGCUACGGAUGGCCAUGCGGCGCAUUAGCUAGUUGGCGGGGUAACGGCCCACCAAGGCGACGAUGCGUAGGGGUUCUGAGAGGAAGGUCCCCCACACUGGUACUGAGACACGGACCAGACUCCUACGGGAGGCAGCAGUGAGGAAUAUUGGUCAAUGGGCGCGAGCCUGAACCAGCCAAGUCGCGUGAGGGAAGACGGUCCUAUGGAUUGUAAACCUCUUUUGUCGGGGAGCAAAAGACGCCACGCGUGGCGUUCCGAGAGUACCCG